RNAcentral lists this signal recognition particle RNA (266 nucleotides) under Candidatus Cloacimonadota bacterium. RNAcentral's name for it is "Candidatus Cloacimonetes bacterium signal recognition particle sRNA large type". It matches the Rfam family "Bacterial large signal recognition particle RNA". Rfam says of the family: The signal recognition particle (SRP) is a universally conserved ribonucleoprotein involved in the co-translational targeting of proteins to membranes. Archaeal SRP consists of a 7S RNA and homologues of the eukaryotic SRP19 and SRP54 proteins. In most bacteria, the SRP consists of a 4.5S RNA and the Ffh protein (a homologue of the eukaryotic SRP54 protein). The record is from RNAcentral. Lineage: Bacteria; Pseudomonadati; Candidatus Cloacimonadota.
UCGUGCCAGAUGGGGAGUUAGCGGUGCCCUGUAACCUGCAAUCCGCUAUAGCAGGGUCAACUACUGACAGGCGAUAUGAAUUGGAGAGACCAGUUUUUGCAGGGGAUGACGCAGAAGGUUGGACCCAUUAUAGAUAUAUACUUCAAACCCCGUCAGGACCGGAAGGUAGCAGCGGUAAGAAGUGAUCUAUCUGAUAGUGAUUUUCCUGACUGGAGUCUUUCCCCUUCAUAACCCUUUCCAACUAAUACCAACUGUUAGGUGCACGA